GAUGAACGCUGGCGGCGUGCCUAAUACAUGCAAGUCGAGCGAACAGACGAGGAGCUUGUUCCUCUGACGUUAGCGGCGGACGGGUGAGUAACACGUGGAGAACCUACCUAUAAGACUGGGAUAACUUCGGGAAACCGGAGCUAAUACCGGAUAAUAUAUUGAACCGCAUGGUUCAAUAGUGAAAGACGGUUUUGCUGUCACUUAUAGAUGGAUCCGCGCCGCAUUAGCUAGUUGGUAAGGUAACGGCUUACCAAGGCAACGAUGCGUAGCCGACCUGAGAGGGUGAUCGGCCACACUGGAACUGAGACACGGUCCAGACUCCUACGGGAGGCAGCAGUAGGGAAUCUUCCGCAAUGGGCGAAAGCCUGACGGAGCAACGCCGCGUGAGUGAUGAAGGUCUUCGGAUCGUAAAACUCUGUUAUUAGGGAAGAACAAAUGUGUAAGUAACUAUGCACGUCUUGACGGUACCUAAUCAGAAAGCCACGGCUAACUACGUG
This 497-nucleotide ribosomal RNA is filed under the name uncultured bacterium. Its description in RNAcentral is "partial 16S ribosomal RNA". It matches the Rfam family "Bacterial small subunit ribosomal RNA", at positions 28 to 507 of the family's 1533-position model. The record is from RNAcentral.